CCUACGGGCGGCAGCAGUGGGGAAUAUUGGACAAUGGGGGGAACCCUGAUCCAGCCAUGCCGCGUGUGUGAAGGAGGCCCUCGGGUUGUAAAGCACUUUCAGUGAGGAAGAACGCCUGGUGGUUAAUACCCAUCAGGAAAGACAUCACUCACAGAAGAAGCACCGGCUAACUCCGUGCCAGCAGCCGCGGUAAUACGGAGGGUGCGAGCGUUAAUCGGAAUUACUGGGCGUAAAGCGCGCGUAGGUGGCUUGAUAAGCCGGUUGUGAAAGCCCCGGGCUCAACCUGGGAACGGCAUCCGGAACUGUCAAGCUAGAGUGCAGGAGAGGAAGGUAGAAUGGCCGGUGUAGCGGUGAAAUGCGUAGAGAUCGGGAGGAAUACCAGUGGCGAAGGCGGCCGUCUGGACUGACACUGACACUGAGGUGCGAAAGCGUGGGUAGCAAACAGGAUUAGAGACCCUUGUAGUG
Molecule: ribosomal RNA, 465 nt
Filed under: Vreelandella stevensii
Lineage: Bacteria; Pseudomonadati; Pseudomonadota; Gammaproteobacteria; Oceanospirillales; Halomonadaceae
Description: partial 16S ribosomal RNA
Rfam family: Bacterial small subunit ribosomal RNA
Source: RNAcentral